RNAcentral lists this unclassified non-coding RNA (549 nucleotides) under Cyperus prieurianus. Its description in RNAcentral is "partial contains rpl32 gene (partial), rpl32-trnL IGS and trnL gene (partial)". Lineage: Eukaryota; Viridiplantae; Streptophyta; Magnoliopsida; Poales; Cyperaceae. The record is from RNAcentral.
UCAAUUACUUAAUUAAGUAACAAUUUACUUAUUAAUUAACUUUUCACAAUAGAUUUUUUUCUAUUGUGAAAAGUUUAAUAGAACUUAAAUUCAAUUUGAGAUUUAAAUAUUUCCUAUCUUAUCUUAUAUAUAUUAUAAAUUUUUUUUUAAUUUUUUAAAAAUUAAAAAAAGAUUUAUAAUUUACUGUUAAUUUUAACAUUAAAAAAUAAAAAAAGAUAAAUGAUAAAAACUUUGCAUUUAUUUUUUAAUNNNAUUCUACUAGAAUAUUAAAAAAUAAAAAAGACUAAAUUCUUUUUGUUUUUUGUAAUUUUUUUAAAUAUUAAAAAAAAUGAUUUUUCUUCCUAUCAUUAUUGAUACGGAAAAUAAGAUAAAUGAUAAAAAAAUAGUAAGUUUUAUAAAAAAAGUAAGAUUUUGCCAUUGAGGAUGUCAAAAUAAAAUGAAAAAAAAUCUUUUCUCUUUAUCCAUUCUAAAAUUUCUUAUUUCAAAUANAAAUUUUUAAAUCUUGACGANUUAAACAUGAANUUGGCUUAUUAUUUAAAAAAAGCCGCC